This 858-nucleotide ribosomal RNA is filed under the name Ramularia glennii. RNAcentral's name for it is "eukaryotic LSU rRNA". It matches the Rfam family "Eukaryotic large subunit ribosomal RNA", at positions 54 to 943 of the family's 3401-position model. Lineage: Eukaryota; Fungi; Ascomycota; Dothideomycetes; Mycosphaerellales; Mycosphaerellaceae. The record is from RNAcentral.
AGGAAAAGAAACCAACAGGGAUUGCCCUAGUAACGGCGAGUGAAGCGGCAACAGCUCAAAUUUGAAAUCUGGCGCAAGCCCGAGUUGUAAUUUGUAGAGGAUGCUUCUAGGUAGCGACCGGUCUAAGUUCCUUGGAACAGGACGUCAUAGAGGGUGAGAAUCCCGUAUGUGACUGGCCCGCACCUUCUACGUAGCUCCUUCGACGAGUCGAGUUGUUUGGGAAUGCAGCUCUAAAUGGGAGGUAAAUUUCUUCUAAAGCUAAAUACCGGCCAGAGACCGAUAGCGCACAAGUAGAGUGAUCGAAAGAUGAAAAGCACUUUGGAAAGAGAGUUAAAAAGCACGUGAAAUUGUUGAAAGGGAAGCGCUCACAACCAGACUUCUGGGCGGUGUUCCGCCGGUCUUCUGACCGGUCUACUCACCGUCCCGAGGCCAACAUCAUCUGGGACCGCCGGAUAAGACCUUAGGAAUGUAGCUCCCCUCGGGGAGUGUUAUAGCCUGUGGUGAUGCGGCGCGUCUCGGGUGAGGUCCGCGCUUCGGCAAGGAUGUUGGCGUAAUGGUUGUCAGCGGCCCGUCUUGAAACACGGACCAAGGAGUCUAACAUCUAUGCGAGUGUUCGGGUGUCAAACCCCUACGCGUAAUGAAAGUGAACGGAGGUGGGAAGGGUAACCUGCACCAUCGACCGAUCCUGAUGUCCUCGGAUGGAUUUGAGUAAGAGCAUAGCUGUUGGGACCCGAAAGAUGGUGAACUAUGCCUGAAUAGGGUGAAGCCAGAGGAAACUCUGGUGGAGGCUCGCAGCGGUUCUGACGUGCAAAUCGAUCGUCAAAUUUGGGUAUAGGGGCGAAAGACUAAUCGAACCAU